Molecule: long non-coding RNA, 847 nt
Organism: Mauremys reevesii (Reeves's turtle)
Lineage: Eukaryota; Metazoa; Chordata; Testudines; Geoemydidae
Exons: 4
Source: RefSeq, a predicted model, not a curated record
AAUGAAAAAAUUAGUGGACUUCAAAGAGAACUUGAAUGGAGAAAAGCCCUAGUUUGUCCAACGAAUGUGACCCUGGAUCCAAACACAGCAAAUGCCCAGCUCAUCGUGUCUGAGGAUCGGAAAAGCGUGAGGCGUGGAAUUGCACGGCAGGAGGUGCCGGACAAUCCAGAGCGAUUCCAUUCUUUCUGUUUGCUGGGCUGUGAGAGGUUCAGCUCAGGGAGACAUUACUGGGAGGUGGAGGUGGGAGAUGGAGGGUUUUGGGCUGUGGGUGUUGCCAGAGAGUCUAUGAGGAGGAAGGGAGGGAUCAGAUUUAACCCUGAGCAGGGGAUCUGGGCUGUAGAGCGGUGUGGGGAUCAGUACCGGGCUCUCACCUCCCCAGAAACUCCCAUGCCCCUGAGUGAGAGACCUAGGAAGAUUGGGGUUUAUCUGGACUAUGAAGCGGAGUGGGUGGCAUUUUAUGAUACUGGUAAUGAGACCCUGAUCUUUACUUUCAUGUCAGCGUCUUUCACAGGGGAGACAAUCCUUCCCUUCUUCUGGGUGGGGAUUGGAGUCCUGCUCAGAGUCUGCCCCUGAGGCCUGGAGAUGCGGAGGUAGCAAUAUCCCACUGGGGUUCACUCUGGUUCUGGACCAGAAAUGGACUGAACUAGUUGUUGUCCUGGGGACAGCUCAGGUGGUUUAAAACACACUGCUGUGGUUCUAGAGAGGGGGAUUGGGGAGACAGAGAAGAUGUCAUGGGGGGGUUGUAGGGAGCAUAGGCACCGACUCUGUGGGUGCCGCAGGGCUUGAGCACCCACAGGGAAAAAUUAGUGGGUGCUCUGCACCCACCGGAAGCCAAGCUCCCUUCACC